CCUACGGGUGGCUGCAGUGGGGAAUAUUGGACAAUGGGGGGAACCCUGAUCCAGCCAUGCCGCGUGUGUGAAGAAGGCCCUCGGGUUGUAAAGCACUUUCAGUGAGGAAGAACGCCCGGUGGUUAAUACCCAUCAGGAAAGACAUCACUCACAGAAGAAGCACCGGCUAACUCCGUGCCAGCAGCCGCGGUAAUACGGAGGGUGCGAGCGUUAAUCGGAAUUACUGGGCGUAAAGCGCGCGUAGGUGGCUUGAUAAGCCGGUUGUGAAAGCCCCGGGCUCAACCUGGGAACGGCAUCCGGAACUGUCAAGCUAGAGUGCAGAAGAGGAAGGUAGAAUUCCCGGUGUAGCGGUGAAAUGCGUAGAGAUCUGGAGGAAUACCAGUGGCGAAGGCGGCCUUCUGGACUGACACUGACACUGAGGUGCGAAAGCGUGGGUAGCAAACAGGAUUAGAUACCCUUGUAGUC
RNAcentral lists this ribosomal RNA (465 nucleotides) under Vreelandella stevensii. RNAcentral describes it as "partial 16S ribosomal RNA". It matches the Rfam family "Bacterial small subunit ribosomal RNA", at positions 338 to 795 of the family's 1533-position model. Lineage: Bacteria; Pseudomonadati; Pseudomonadota; Gammaproteobacteria; Oceanospirillales; Halomonadaceae. The record is from RNAcentral.